GGGGGGCAACUCCCUGAGUAAAGCGGCGCACGGGUGAGUAACACGUAGGUAGUCUACCCUCGAGUCCAGGAUAACCUACCGAAAGGUGGGCUAAUACCGGAUAUGACCACGGGAGUUUCGGCUCCUGCGGUGAAAGGUGGCCUCUGCUUGCAAGCUACUGCUCGGAGAUGAGCCUGCGGGCCAUUAGCUAGUUGGUGAGGUAACGGCUCACCAAGGCGAUGAUGGCUAGCUGGUCUGAGAGGAUGGCCAGCCACACUGGGACUGAAACACGGCCCAGACUCCUACGGGAGGCAGCAGUGGGGGAUAUUGCGCAAUGGGCGAAAGCCUGACGCAGCGACGCCGCGUGGGUGAUGAAGGCCUUCGGGUCGUAAAGCCCUGUCGAGGGGAACGAAACGGUCUCGACUUAACACGUCGAGUCCCUGACGGUACCCCUAAAGGAAGCACCGGCUAACUCCGUGCCAGCAGCCGCGGUAAUACGGAGGGUGCAAGCGUUGUUCGGAAUCACUGGGCGUAAAGGGCGUGUAGGCGGUCCGCUAAGUCUGAUGUGAAAGCCCGGGGCUCACCCCCGGAAGGGCAUUGGAAACUGGCGGACUCGAGUCUCGGAGAGGAAGGUGGAAUUCCUGGUGUAGCGGUGAAAUGCGUAGAUAUCAGGAGGAAUACCGGUGGCGAAGGCGGCCUUCUGGACGAUGACUGACGCUGAGACGCGAAAGCGUGGGGAGCAAACAGGAUUAGAUACCCUGGUAGUCCACGCUGUAAACGAUGAGCACUAGGUGUCGUGGGUAUUGACCCCCGCGGUGCCGACGCUAACGCAUUAAGUGCUCCGCCUGGGGACUACGG
Molecule: ribosomal RNA, 837 nt
Filed under: uncultured Pseudomonadota bacterium
Lineage: Bacteria; Pseudomonadati; Pseudomonadota
Description: bacterial SSU rRNA
Rfam family: Bacterial small subunit ribosomal RNA
Source: RNAcentral